GUCUCAGUACCUCAGUUGGAUAGAGGGUUCGCCUCCUAAGCGAAACGCCGAGGGUUCAACUCCCUCCUGGGACGCCA
RNAcentral lists this transfer RNA (77 nucleotides) under Butyricicoccus faecihominis. Its description in RNAcentral is "tRNA-Arg". It matches the Rfam family "tRNA". From Rfam's summary of the family: Transfer RNA (tRNA) molecules are approximately 80 nucleotides in length. Their secondary structure includes four short double-helical elements and three loops (D, anti-codon, and T loops). Further hydrogen bonds mediate the characteristic L-shaped molecular structure. tRNAs have two regions of fundamental functional importance: the anti-codon, which is responsible for specific mRNA codon recognition, and the 3' end, to which the tRNAs corresponding amino acid is attached (by aminoacyl-tRNA synthetases). tRNAs cope with the degeneracy of the genetic code in two manners: having more than one tRNA (with a specific anti-codon) for a particular amino acid; and 'wobble' base-pairing, i.e. permitting non-standard base-pairing at the 3rd anti-codon position. Lineage: Bacteria; Bacillati; Bacillota; Clostridia; Eubacteriales; Butyricicoccaceae. RNAcentral also lists the same sequence under 1 other name. The record is from RNAcentral.